AUUGAACGCUGGCGGCAGGCCUAACACAUGCAAGUCGAACGAGUGGCGGACGGGUGAGUAAUGUCUGGUAAACUGCCUGAUGGAGGGGGAUAACUACUGGAAACGGUAGAUAAUACCGCAUACCAUCAGAUGUGCCCAUAUGGGAUUAGCUUGUUGGUGGGGUAACGGCUCACCAAGGCGACGAUCCCUAGCUGGUCUGAGAGGAUGACCCGCCCCCUGGGAACUGAGACACGGUCCAGACUCCUACGGGAGGCAGCAUUGGGGAAUAUUGGACAAUGGGCGCAAGCCUGAUGCAGCCAUGCCGCGUGUAUGAAGAAGGCCUUCGGGUUGUAAAGUACUUUCAGCGGGGAGGCGUUACCCGCAGAAGAAGCACCGGCUAACUCCGUGCCAGCCGCCGCGGUAAUUC
Molecule: ribosomal RNA, 406 nt
Filed under: uncultured bacterium
Lineage: Bacteria
Description: partial 16S ribosomal RNA
Rfam family: Bacterial small subunit ribosomal RNA
Source: RNAcentral